RNAcentral lists this ribosomal RNA (443 nucleotides) under uncultured bacterium. RNAcentral's name for it is "partial 16S ribosomal RNA". It matches the Rfam family "Bacterial small subunit ribosomal RNA", at positions 338 to 795 of the family's 1533-position model. The record is from RNAcentral.
CCUACGGGUGGCUGCAGUGGGGAAUAUUGGGCAAUGGGCGCAAGCCUGACCCAGCACCGCCGCGUGAAGGAAGAAAGCCCUCGGGGUGUAAACUUCUUUUAUCAGGGACGAAACAAAUGACGGUACCGGAUGAAUACGCCACUGCUACCGACGGGGCAGCAGCCGCGGUAAUACGUAGGUGGCAAGCGUUAUCCGGAUUUACUGGGUGUAAAGGGCGUGUAGGCGGGAGAGCAAGUCAAGAGUGAACUUCCAGGGCUCCACCCUGGACCUGCGUUUGAAACUGUUCGUCUUGAGUGUUGGAGAGGCAGUCGGAAUUCCGUGUGUAGCGGUGAAAUGCGUAGAUAUACGGAGGAACACCAGUGGCGAAGGCGGCCUGCUGGACAUUAACUGACGCUGAGGCGCGAAAGCGUGGGGAGCAAACAGGAUUAGAUACCCCGGUAGUC